GGGUGAGUAAUACAUCGGAACGUACCUUGUAGUGGGGGAUAGCUCGGCGAAAGCCGGAUUAAUACCGCAUACGCUCUGAGGAGGAAAGCGGGGGACCUUCGGGCCUCGCGCUACAAGAGCGGCCGAUGUCAGAUUAGCUAGUUGGUGAGGUAAAAGCUCACCAAGGCGACGAUCUGUAGCUGGUCUGAGAGGACGACCAGCCACACUGGGACUGAGACACGGCCCAGACUCCUACGGGAGGCAGCAGUGGGGAAUUUUGGACAAUGGGCGAAAGCCUGAUCCAGCAAUGCCGCGUGUGUGAAGAAGGCCUUCGGGUUGUAAAGCACUUUUGUCCGGAAAGAAAUCCUCUGGGUUAAUACCUCGGGGGGAUGACGGUACCGGAAGAAUAAGCACCGGCUAACUACGUGCCAGCAGCCGCGGUAAUACGUAGGGUGCAAGCGUUAAUCGGAAUUACUGGGCGUAAAGCGUGCGCAGGCGGUUUUGUAAGACGGAUGUGAAAUCCCCGGGCUUAACCUGGGAACUGCAUUCGUGACUGCAAGGCUAGAGUAUGGCAGAGGGGGGUAGAAUUCCACGUGUAGCAGUGAAAUGCGUAGAGAUGUGGAGGAAUACCGAUGGCGAA
Molecule: ribosomal RNA, 619 nt
Filed under: Pandoraea pnomenusa
Lineage: Bacteria; Pseudomonadati; Pseudomonadota; Betaproteobacteria; Burkholderiales; Burkholderiaceae
Description: bacterial SSU rRNA
Rfam family: Bacterial small subunit ribosomal RNA
Source: RNAcentral